AGCAGCCGCCGCGGUAAUACGGAGGGGGCUAGCGUUGUUCGGAAUUACUGGGCGUAAAGCGCACGUAGGCGGCUUGGUAAGUUAGAGGUGAAAGCCCGGAGCUCAACUCCGGAAUUGCCUUUAAGACUGCCGAGCUAGCAGGUGAGAGAGGUAAGUGGAAUUCCGAGUGUAGAGGUGAAAUUCGUAGAUAUUCGGAAGAACACCAGUGGCGAAGGCGGCUUACUGGCUCAUACUGGACGCUGAGGUGCGAAAGCGUGGGGAGCAAACAGGAUUAGAUACCCGGGUAGUCCCUGUCUCUUAUAA
This 303-nucleotide ribosomal RNA is filed under the name uncultured bacterium. RNAcentral describes it as "partial 16S ribosomal RNA". It matches the Rfam family "Bacterial small subunit ribosomal RNA", at positions 507 to 809 of the family's 1533-position model. The record is from RNAcentral.